RNAcentral lists this ribosomal RNA (486 nucleotides) under uncultured bacterium. RNAcentral describes it as "partial 16S ribosomal RNA". It matches the Rfam family "Bacterial small subunit ribosomal RNA", at positions 28 to 507 of the family's 1533-position model. The record is from RNAcentral.
GACGAACGCUGGCGGCGUGCUUAACACAUGCAAGUCGAACGCUGAAGACCUGGCUUUUGUUGGGUUGGAUGAGUGGCGAACGGGUGAGUAACACGUGAGUAACCUGCCAUCUUCUUUGGGAUAACGCCCGGAAACGGGUGCUAAUACUGGAUAUUCCCUGCUCUUCGCAUGGGGGUUGGUGGUACGGAUUGUUCUGGUGGGGGAUGGGCUCGCGGCCUAUCAGCUUGUUGGUGGGGUGAUGGCCUACCAAGGCUUGGACGGGUCGCCGGCGUGGGAGGGGGACCGGUCAAAUGAGACAUGAGAUACGGUCCAGAGGGAUACGGGAGGCGGGAGUGGGGAAUAAUGCACGAUGGGCGAAAGCCGGCUGCAGGGACGCGGCGUGAGGGACGGCGGGUUUCGGGUUGCAAAUCUCUUUCGAUAAUGGCCAAGGCGCAACUGUGGGUUGUGGUGAGGGUAGUGGGUAAAGAAGCGCCGGCUAACUACGUG